RNAcentral lists this ribosomal RNA (497 nucleotides) under uncultured bacterium. Its description in RNAcentral is "partial 16S ribosomal RNA". It matches the Rfam family "Bacterial small subunit ribosomal RNA", at positions 28 to 507 of the family's 1533-position model. The record is from RNAcentral.
GAUGAACGCUGGCGGCGUGCCUAAUACAUGCAAGUCGAGCGAACAGACGAGGAGCUUGCUCCUCUGACUUUAGCGGCGGACGGGUGAGUAAAACGUGGAUAACCUACCUAUUAGACUGGGAUAACUUCCGGAAACCGGAGCUAAUACCGGAUAAUAUAUUGCACCGCAUGAUUAAAUAGUGAAAGACGGUUUUGCUGUCACUUAUAGAUGGAUCCGCGCCGCCUUGGCUAGUUGGUAAGGUAACGGCUUACCAAGGCGACGAUGCGUAGCUGACCUGAGAGGGUGAGCGGACACACCGGAACUGAGACACGGCACAGACUCCUACGGGAGGCAGGGGAAGGGAAUCGUCCGCAAUGGGCGAAAGCCUGACGGGGCAACGCCGCGUGAGGGAUGAAGGGCUUCGCAUCGUAAAACUAUGUUAUUAGGGAAGAACAAAUGUGUAAGUAACGAUGCACGUCUUGACGGUACCUAAUCAGAAAGCAACGGCUAACUACGUG